GUUCCAGGGCCUUAGCAUCAAGAGGCCUGGCAGCUUCUGCCUUCACCCUCUCAGACCUCGGCCAAGACUGUGCUGUGAAGAAGCCCAGCAAGCUCACUGGAGGUCAGAGGCCACGUGGAAAACUACACCAGCUGCCUGACGGUGAGGGAGACCUCCAGCCAAAUGCAGCCACAGGACUGAGUCCAGACCCUGAGCCCUUGCACCAAGUCACAGUGAUGCAAGCAGGGCCUCCGUCACUACCUGGAGCACAGAUGCCUGGAAUUCUGAAUACAAAGGGUUGGCUGGUCAAGUACUAUUUCUUCUCUAGCCAUAUUUCCAGACCUAAGACACUGUUUUGUCUUUGGAUGCAAAGUGAUAGUGAUUCAAUUGAGUAACAGGGAUUAAAAGCACAUCUGCACAACGCCAGGUAGGCUGGCCACAGCAGGUGACCCACCAGAUGUGGCUCACGGAGAACAGCUUGCCACCAGCUCUUCAGACAUGCCCUCUGAGGCAGCUUCAGGGUGGAUCAUUGGCUUAAAAAAGGGAGAUCAGAGGACUUACUUUCUCAACCCACAGCUAUACCGUAUACAGGAAAAGAUGCUGAAAAAGUGAAACUGACUUAUCAGAAGGUUCUCUGACUCCUGGAAGGGAGGAAUCUAUGCCAAAGAAGCUGGGUCAGACUGUGAAGGAAUGGGAUUAUGAUGGAAGUGAUCUUUCCCAAAAUAUGAUGAGUUCCUUGAAAGUAAAAAAUUGAAAAUUUGUCUAACUUUUCAAACAAAUUAAAAAAGCCACCGAAGCUAUGUGAUGGGCAUACAGCAAAUCUCUGUAUUUUUUUUUCCUGUAAACCUAAAAUUAUUUCCCCUCACAAAAUUAUUUAAAACACAAAACAAAACCACUGAAGAACCUUGAAGGGUAAGUUAUUGUAUUGCUUUGGCCGAAGAAACAUACACAAUAGCCUGGUAGAGCCUGACACUGCUGAACGCCUGCUGGAUGGAAAACUGUGGAUGGAAAGUCAGCAAAAGAGAUGACAGCCUGCUACUUCCCAAUGAAACUGUAGCCUGUUGAAUCAAAGAUUAAGCUGCAAACAUGAAUGCUGAGUUAAUAUUUCAUUUUUAGAAGUAUGCCUGGACUUGCUAUCUGACUUGUAGUCACACAGUAACAUCAAAGAUCUUUUAUGUAGAUGGUUGGCAAUAAAACACAAGUGAUGCUGGCUGAAAGAUUUAACAUUCUGAAAACCUUUACUGACUUUCAAUUGUUUAUCCGGGAACAACUGUACUGACAUCUGCCCAGGCGGUUCAAAAGCAACAGAGGAUAAAACCACCAGAGCCUGAGCAUCCCUCAGGGCAGGGCUGCCAAACUCUACUGGCAGUCACACUAUUCUCUACUGCUACCAUAGGCAGGCAGACAGACAGACAGACGGAAAGAUGAUAGAUAAAUAGGUAGAUGGUAAGAGUUUCAUUUGAGGAUACAUUUGAUGAAGCAGCAGGAAUUAAUCUGAUUAAAUCUUGAUUCUUGUGGCCCAUCUUUUUAACAUUCUGUGUAACAAAAUGGGAUGUGCAUGAUGGUUAUGUUUAGGAAAAGCAUUAGUAAGAUGACUUGCAAGCUAAACUAGGCACUCUUUUGAAGGAACACCAUUUUUACUUGAAAGAAUGACAAAUUAUGGUUAUUCAGGCUUGUGUAUCUGGCAGACAUUUUCUAAUAAAUUAAUGAGGUGACCCUGUUAUUUCAAGCAAAACAAUUGAUAGUAGCUAUUGUCAAAAAUAAAAUUUGAACUCUCAAGAGAAAACAAGAAUUAAAGAAAACUUCUACCUGCUACCAUGACCUUGAUAGCUUCCAAUACCUAAACACUCUUCUGAUGAGAUCAGUGGCAAUAUUAGGGGGUACAAUUUUGGGGGAUGUUUUACAGUUGACCCUUGAAUAACACAUGUUUGAACUGUGCAGGACC
Non-coding RNA from Manis javanica (Malayan pangolin), 1924 nucleotides. The record is from RefSeq and is a predicted model, not a curated record. NCBI's taxonomy places the organism in Eukaryota, Metazoa, Chordata, Mammalia, Pholidota, Manidae.